CACGGGGGUGGCAAGCGUUGUCCGGAAUUACUAGGCGUAAAGGGCAGGUAGGCGGAUCUGUAAGUCGGGCGUUUAAACCUCAGUCUCAAGCUGAGACAUGCGCCUGAUACUGUAGAUCUAGAAUGCGGCGGGGGAAGACGGAAUUCCGGGUGUAGCGGUGGAAUGCGCAGAUAUCCGGAGGAACACCGAAGGCGAAGGCAGUCUUCCAUACCGUAAUUGACGCUGAACUGCGAAGGUGUGGGGAUCAAACAGG
This 253-nucleotide ribosomal RNA is filed under the name uncultured bacterium. Its description in RNAcentral is "partial 16S ribosomal RNA". It matches the Rfam family "Bacterial small subunit ribosomal RNA", at positions 524 to 776 of the family's 1533-position model. The record is from RNAcentral.